This 440-nucleotide ribosomal RNA is filed under the name uncultured bacterium. RNAcentral's name for it is "partial 16S ribosomal RNA". It matches the Rfam family "Bacterial small subunit ribosomal RNA", at positions 338 to 795 of the family's 1533-position model. The record is from RNAcentral.
CCUACGGGAGGCAGCAGUGGGGAAUAUUGCACAAUGGGGGAAACCCUGAUGCAGCGACGCCGCGUGAGUGAAGAAGUAUUUCGGUACGUAAAGCUCUAUCAGCAGGGAAGAAAAUGACGGUCCCUGACUAAGAAGCCCCGGCUAACUACGUGCCAGCAGCCGCGGUAAUACGUAGGGGGCAAGCGUUAGCCGGAUUUACUGGAUGUAAAGGGAGCGUAGACGGCAGCGCAAGUCUGGAGUGAAAUCCCAUGGCUUAACCAUGGAACUGCUUUGGAAACUGUGCAGCUAGAGUGCAGGAGAGGUAAGCGGAAUUCCUAGUGUAGCGGUGAAAUGCGUAGAGAUUAGGAGGAACACCAGUGGCGAAGGCGGCUUACUGGACUGUAACUGACGUUGAGGCUCGAAAGCGUGGGGAGCAAACAGGAUUAGAUACCCGGGUAGUC